Long non-coding RNA from Zophobas morio, 466 nucleotides. RefSeq lists it as uncharacterized. The transcript is spliced from 5 exons. The record is from RefSeq and is a predicted model, not a curated record. NCBI's taxonomy places the organism in Eukaryota, Metazoa, Arthropoda, Insecta, Coleoptera, Tenebrionidae.
GUAUGACUAUUUUUUGUACGUCGAAAAAAGAUGAAUUUUUCAGAAGAACAAAUUGUUGAAAUUCAGGAAGCCUUUUCGAUAUUUGAUACAGAGAGCAUUGGUGAAAUUAAAUGCAAAGACCUGGAAGUAGCAGUAGGCUUAUUGGGAUUAAACUUUCAAAACGACGAAUUUCAGAAAGACUUGCAAAAAAGCGGUUUAAAAGAUGCCGAAAAGAUUAAUUUUGAGGAUUUUCUUAAAUUUUUAUCAACUAGCCAGAAAGAAAGAAACUUUAAAAAAGAGGCUACAAAAGUUUUUAAGUUAUUUGAUUACGAUGAAAAAGGCUAUAUAUCUAUUGAAAAUUUGCGGAAGAUUGCCAGUGAACUUGGAGAAAGUAUAACAGAGCAAGAACUAAAGGAAAUGAUUGAGGAAGGAGACCGAGAUGGAGAUGGUUUUGUCGGAAAAGAAGAUUUUAUUCAGCUUUUAGAAC